AUUGAACGCUGGCGGCAGGCCUAACACAUGCAAGUCGAACGGUAACAGGAAGCAGCUUGCUGCUUUGCUGACGAGUGGCGGACGGGUGAGUAAUGUCUGGGAAACUGCCCGAUGGAGGGGGAUAACUACUGGAAACGGUAGCUAAUACCGCAUAACGUCGCAAGACCAAAGAGGGGGACCUUAGGGCCUCUUGCCAUCGGAUGUGCCCAGAUGGGAUUAGCUAGUAGGUGGGGUAACGGCUCACCUAGGCGACGAUCCCUAGCUGGUCUGAGAGGAUGACCAGCCACACUGGAACUGAGACACGGUCCAGACUCCUACGGGAGGCAGCAGUGGGGAAUAUUGCACAAUGGGCGCAAGCCUGAUGCAGCCAUGCCGCGUGUAUGAAGAAGGCCUUCGGGUUGUAAAGUACUUUCAGCGGGGAGGAAGGGAGUAAAGUUAAUACCUUUGCUCAUUGACGUUACCCGCAGAAGAAGAACCGGCUAACUCCGUG
RNAcentral lists this ribosomal RNA (490 nucleotides) under uncultured bacterium. RNAcentral's name for it is "partial 16S ribosomal RNA". It matches the Rfam family "Bacterial small subunit ribosomal RNA", at positions 30 to 507 of the family's 1533-position model. The record is from RNAcentral.